UUCAAUAAGGACCGUUGGAUCAAAACCGACGGCUUAGAUUAAAUUAUCUUCACCCCGAACCGGUACACAACCCAGGCCGUCGGAUGAAGAUCCUACGGUCAAUACACUACGUGCACUAGCGGCCAUACGAUCCUAGAUCUACGGCAGUGGACGAGUCCGAGCGAAACGUUACCUUGACCUAAAUCCGGCGCGCACAUCAGGCGAUCAACGACCAUCGUUGCGAGAUUGUCUCCCUCAGCUGGUUGUCCACGGAGACGCAGGUGCCCGUGCGGCGGCGCCCUUGCCGGAGAAUUCCCAAACCGAGGCCAUCGUGGACUGAAGAUCUCCCAUCUCUCGUACUGGAGCUGCGGCCAUCCCCGCCGUGCCUCGGUGCAGUCCCCCGGCUGGUUCUCGAGGUCUGGACGACGACGCCCAAGCGAUUCCAGGCGGCGACAACCUCUCUUUCUCUCACUACCUCUGACCUAUCUGCUUGCUUCUAGCGGGAUGCUCAUGGGUUUCAUCUGGCGACCCAUCUUGAGGUCAAUGGAUGGCGGGGCCUCGGGUUUUAUACCCCCAGACCAGGCGGAUAAGGAUUUAGCCAGUGAUCGAUCUCCGAUGAUUAAGGACGGUUUAGGUGCGAUUUGGUCGGAGAUCGGCCUCAGGUAGAAGAAGGCCCUGUCGGGUUGUGCCCAAUAGCAGAGGCGGAACGGACCUGGAAUCAGGCUGGCGCAUGGCUUGGAAGAUUCGCGCAGUGGUUUUGUCAAUGAAGCCGCGCACGCAGGAAGCGGAGUUCGUUGCGCUCCCCCCGGUGUUCAGUUUUAGGAGGAAGACGACUUACAGCAUGGGCCCGCCAGACGGUGAACGGGAGGUCACGAUUACGGAGCGGGGACGCUGGUGGUGAGGGCCCACGCGAUAGUGUCACAUCAAGAGCAGGCGCACGCGCGACAUUAGAUCGGGUGGCCCGUGCAGUGCCAGCGUUAGGUGGGUUGGAAGGUGAGCUGAGCUGGGCCAAAAGUAGGGAGCUCGGCCUAAGCGAGUUUUCUUUUUUUUUUCUUUUCUAUUUCUAUUUUAUUGCAAACUACAAGUUCAAACUUCAUUCAAAUUUUACUUAGAUCUGAUUUAUAGAUCAUAUGAAAUCAUUCACAUAAUUUCCAGCAUGAAUGCAAAAGUGGAAUAUUUAUUUAUUAUCUUAUUUUAUUGUUUAUGCUUUUAUAUGUAAAAUUGGUGAAAGAAACAUUUAUUAAAUUCAAUAGGAAAACUCCAUAUUAUUUAUUUUUCUGAGAUUUGAAAUUAUAAUCUAUAUUUUAUAAGUUAAAUUUAAAUCUGAGUCAUUAAACCCUAAUAUAUAUUUUUUUUAUUUGUUUAAUCAUUUGGAAGGCUAAAUCAUACACUAGAUUCAAUCCCAUUAUUACUCCUCAAAGAGAACAAAGUUACUUCCUAUUUUCUCAAAAUGUAUUAUAGGGUUUACAAAUCCUACCCCCCUUAACAGAAAUCUCGACCUCGAGAUUUGUGAGAAAAGGGACACAGAAGGAUUGGCCAGCUAUUAGUUUAUAUUUGGUUCAAAAAUUCAGAGUCUCAUUUUUAUUAGUCAAUAGUGGGUGAUUAGGAGAGUAUAGUUAUUAUUUAUGUGGGAUAUAAGCUGGACAGGUUGAGGUAAGGAAGAUUAUGGCAAGGAAAGAACUUUAUCCAAAAUGUUUAAGUCUUGAUUCAUCUCGAGAUUCGCUUGACUGUUAUAUCCUCCCUUGACGAUGUUGGUCUUUUCUUCUCCGGUCUUGGUCUCAUUGACUCGCAGUGAGUGCAUAUCAUUGUUGUUGGGGAAUAUGGUUAAGAUAGAUUUGGAUGAGAUAGGCUACAUGAUGUAGGUCUAAAGCUCAUUUGAUGGGAAUAAACAGAUUAUGUAAUCCAUCAUGACACUAUUGGUUGGGUUAGCUCUUACGUUCACGGUUGAGUUGGUCUAAUGCACUAAUUUUAGGUUUAAGUGCAUGAGGGGAGAACAAGAUUUAUAGGAGUAGGAUCUAGUUUAUUUUACUAGUGUUAACUUGUUAAGUGACUGUCCUUAGGUUAUCUCAACUUAAGGUUAGACUUCAUCAGGUUAGAUUAACCAAUUAGGUUGGAUCAGAUCUAGAAUAAAUCGAUAUGAAUAUUUUAGACUAGAUAAGAUCUAAAUAAAUUUUUGGAUUAGCUCAUGGUUGUUAUUCUAGAGUGGGGUAAAUAUGCUAAUUAGGGCAAGAUGAAUCCAUAAGGAUAGGGUAGAAUCUUUUGAGGUCAGUUAGAUCUAUUAGGAUAAGAUAAAAUCUUUUCAAGGUAAGAUGAAUCUAUUAAGGUAAAAGAGAGUCUUUUUUAAGAUAAGAUGUUUCUAUUAAGCUUAAUAUAUUUCAGUGGAGAUAAUCUAAGUUGGAUAGUUAUUUUAUCAACAUUUUUUACUAUAUAUAUUUAUAGAUGCAAUUGUGGACGUUAUUCCACAACUCAUCACACUCAAUCAAAGAUCCAAAUCAGACAAAUAUCAUAAGAACAAGCAUUCAAGCAUAUGGAUACUUAUAGAAAUAGUUUUGUUUUGGUUCCUAAGAUGGGGUCUCUUAUUCCUAAAGGUCAUUUUAGGUAUAGGAUUUCAAAGUGUGAAAUCCACAUUUGUCUUUAGAAAGAAAAGGUAAGAGUAAUCAGAGUAAAGCGGAAAUAGAUGAGAAAAGAUUAAGAAAAGUUUAGAAAGAAUCAGAGUAGCAAAGGUAAGUAGAUAAUGGUUGUCCAGUUCUAUCUAGGUUUCGUCCUACAGUCAACAUUCCUCUGAUACCACUUCUGUCACACCCGAGUUUUAGGGGCACCAAGACCCAGGCGCGAACAUAAUCACCAGGUGUGCUAGGACCAAGUCUCACACAUAUGAUGAAUCAUGGCACAAGAUCGAAUGUCACGUCUUUACUAUAUAUUAGGAGUUCUAUACAAAAUAAAUAAAUAAUUACAUUAUAAGGAGACAACGGUCCAGCAACCCAAAGUUGACUGGGAGACGACGGCCUAGACCUCUCGCGAACUCGCCACAACAUCCUCCAUGCGCUUCAUCCUGCGGUACCUGUUCUUGACCUGUGGUGGGGUGUGAGACAGCAAGAGUGAGCUCACAUACGUUCAUCGCUCAACAAGUUGUGGGGAAUAAUGUGCAUGAACUCGCCAAAGGUGGGAGCUCACGUGAAGUGUAAGGCUUACCAAAGAGGAUGGUUAGAGCUGAGCAUUGCUUUUAAAGUUGGUCAAAAUUUUAUUAGCAGUUACUAAGUAUAAGUAAAUACCAACCCAAUUAAGUAGUAGAACAGAAGUAACAACAUCACCUGCGAUGCAAUGCAUAUGAAAAAUUGAAUUUAAGUUCCAUAAAUUAAUCAUGUGAGGGUCCGAGCUGCUCAUGACCGUGAACACGGCUAGUAUACCAGUUUUACACUCUGCAGAGGUUGCGCAUCUUUACCCACAAGUCAUGCUACCCAUCUGCCAAGGGAUCGCGACUUCCCAUACACCUCUACCGAGGAGGCGAGGCAGCGUAACACUACGAGGCCUUUACAAAGUUCCACUAGCUUCAGAAAACCCGCUACAGUUUAUAGGAAGCUCCAAUGCAGGGUUCUUGUCUGACCGCCAUCGCAGCAAAAUCAACCAAGGACCUCCCUACACUGACCACUCCCCUACUGCCCUUGCCCCUUUCGGGUAAGGUAGUCCUCCACUAGCUUUCCUAAUUAAUCAGCCAAGGGCGUCCAUAAACCCUUGUGGUAGCACUGUUUUCCUGGGUGGUCGCUCCAUGUUCCAAUUAACAUAAUGAUCUUAUCAUGAAUAGUGAUAAUAAAUAGAUAAUAAAAGUGUGAUCAUGAAUAAUGUAUCUUCAUACCCAAAACCACAUAAAGCACUAGCAAGUACUACCCAAAAAGUUCAGUGGUAAACAAGGUAUAUAGAUAAUCAAACUAGGGUAACCUAUUGGGUCCCAUCAAAAUUAACCUAUGCAGAUCAUUAUGAUUAAUUAGAACAUGAGUGGGUAAAAAGAAGUGAUCAAGGGCACAACUUGCCUGGCACUUGAGAUUCUAGGUACCAACUUGCUCUUCAGAUGACUCGUGACCUCACGCUAGUCGUAGCAAUACAAACAAACAUGGUAUAGGCAAAAUUAACAUCACACCAAACAUAUAUGCAAAAUACAUAUUAAUAAUCUUCAUAUUAAAAUAAGAUCAUAGGAACAAGAAUUAUUAAUUUUGGAGUUAUAGAUUUAAGUUAUGGAUUUCCAAAGAUUCUAGGUGUUUUGUACAAAAUUAAUUAGCAUAUCAAUUUUAAUAUGGCUUUCAUGUCAAAAUAGUGACACAAAAUGAUAAAUAAUAAUAUUACAAAAAUAUAGGAAUUGGAAUGGAUUAAUUUGGACUUCAUAUGAAUUUUCUUAUGAUUUAAACAAAUUCUAGCCUUUAUUUUUGCAUUAAAAAUCAUUUUCUAAAACCUUUUAUCUUAUUUCUUAACUCCUUGGACUCGGCGCCCUAAAAUAGGAAACAGCAGGGACUUUUGCGCAAGAAAUCUGAGACCCAAUCCAUAGUCAUAGGUGGACGGCGGGUUAAAUCACCAAGACUCCGAGGACUCAUUAGGAAGUUUGCCUCGGCGAAGGGGUAUGGUUCAAUAAGGACCGUUGGAUCAAAACCGGCGGCUUAGAUUAAAUUAUCUUCACCCCGAACCGGUACACAACCCAGGCCAUCGGAUGAAGAUCCUACGAUAAAUACACUACGUGCACUAGCGGCCAUACGAUCCUAGAUCUACGGCAGUGGACGAGUCCGAGCGAAACGUUACCUUGACCUAAAUCCGGCGCGCACAUCAGGCGAUCAACGGCCAUCGUCGCGGGAUUGUCUCCCUCAGCUGGUUGUCCACGGCGACGUAGGUGCCCGUGUGGCGGCGCCCUUGCCGGAGAAUUCCCAAACCGAGGCCAUCGUGGACUGAAGAUCUCCCAUCUCUCGUACUGGAGCUGCGGCCAUCCCCG
This 4951-nucleotide long non-coding RNA is filed under the name Zea mays. RNAcentral's name for it is "long non-coding RNA (ZMAY_LNC005361)". The record is from RNAcentral. Lineage: Eukaryota; Viridiplantae; Streptophyta; Magnoliopsida; Poales; Poaceae.